This 87-nucleotide transfer RNA is filed under the name freshwater metagenome. RNAcentral's name for it is "tRNA-Asp". The record is from RNAcentral.
AGGUCGGUUGCCUCAGGAGUGGUGCGAAUACUGUCAAUAUUUUGACCAUCAAUGGUGGUGGUGAUCGUUCCGAUCAAUCCCGUCUUC